GUCACUUUGCCGGAGUGGUUAACGGGAUCGCCUGCUAAAUAAGCAUUUGUAAGCGGUUGGGCUUUGCCCGCGUGUGUUCGAAUCGCACAGGUGACG
Non-coding RNA from Dendrothele bispora CBS 962.96, 96 nucleotides. The record is from the annotation of a GenBank genome assembly. NCBI's taxonomy places the organism in Eukaryota, Fungi, Basidiomycota, Agaricomycetes, Agaricales.